This 492-nucleotide ribosomal RNA is filed under the name uncultured bacterium. RNAcentral describes it as "partial 16S ribosomal RNA". It matches the Rfam family "Bacterial small subunit ribosomal RNA", at positions 29 to 507 of the family's 1533-position model. The record is from RNAcentral.
AGUGAACGCUGGCGGUAGGCCUAACACAUGCAAGUCGAACGGCAGCACAGUAAGAGCUUGCUCUUACGGGUGGCGAGUGGCGGACGGGUGAGGCAUACAUCGGAAUCUACUUUUUCGUGGGGGAUAACGUAGGGAAACUUACGCUAAUACCGCAUACGACCUACGGGUGAAAGCAGGGGAUCUUCGGACCUUGCGCGAUUGAAUGAGCCGAUGUCGGAUUAGCUAGUUGGCGGGGUAAAGGCCCACCAAGGCGACGAUCCGUAGCUGGUCUGAGAGGAUGAUCAGCCACACUGGAACUGAGACACGGUCCAGACUCCUACGGGAGGCAGCAGUGGGGAAUAUUGGACAAUGGGCGCAAGCCUGAUCCAGCCAUACUGCGUGGGUGAAGAAGGCCUUCGGGUUGUAAAGCCCUUUUGUUGGGAAAGAAAAGCAGCAGGUUAAUACCCCGCUGUUCUGACGGUACCCAAAGAAUAAGCACCGGCUGACUUCGUG